CCCACGGGCGGCAGCAGUGGGGAAUAUUGGACAAUGGGGGGAACCCUGAUCCAGCCAUGCCGCGUGUGUGAAGAAGGCCCUCGGGUUGUAAAGCACUUUCAGUGAGGAAGAACGCCUGGUGGUUAAUACCCAUCAGGAAAGACAUCACUCACAGAAGAAGCACCGGCUAACUCCGUGCCAGCAGCCGCGGUAAUACGGAGGGUGCGAGCGUUAAUCGGAAUUACUGGGCGUAAAGCGCGCGUAGGUGGCUUGAUAAGCCGGUUGUGAAAGCCCCGGGCUCAACCUGGGAACGGCAUCCGGAACUGUCAAGCUAGAGUGCAGGAGAGGAAGGUAGAAUUCCCGGUGUAGCGGUGAAAUGCGUAGAGAUCGGGAGGAAUACCAGUGGCGAAGGCGGCCUUCUGGACUGACACUGACACUGAGGUGCGAAAGCGUGGGUAGCAAACAGGAUUAGAUACCCCUGUAGUC
Molecule: ribosomal RNA, 465 nt
Filed under: Vreelandella stevensii
Lineage: Bacteria; Pseudomonadati; Pseudomonadota; Gammaproteobacteria; Oceanospirillales; Halomonadaceae
Description: partial 16S ribosomal RNA
Rfam family: Bacterial small subunit ribosomal RNA
Source: RNAcentral